AGUGAACGCUGGCGGUAGGCCUAACACAUGCAAGUCGAACGGCAGCACAGUAAGUGCUUGCUCUUACGGGUGGCGAGUGGCGGACGGGUGAGGAAUACAUCGGAAUCUACUUUUUCGUGGGGGAUAACGUAGGGAAACUUACGCUAAUACCGCAUACGACCUACGGGUGAAAGCAGGGGAUCUUCGGACCUUGCGCGAUUGAAUGAGCCGAUGUCGGAUUAGCUAGAUGGCGGGGUAAAGGCCCACCAAGGCGACGAUCCGUAGCUGGUCUGAGAGGAUGAUCAGCCACACUGUAACUGAGACACAGUCCAGACUCCUACAGGAGGCAGCAGUGGGGAAUAUUGGACAAUGGGCGCAAGCCUGAUCCAGCCAUACCGCGUGGGGGAAGAAGGCCUUCUGGUUGUAAAGCCAUUUUGUUGGGAGAGAAAAGCAGCAGGUUAAUACCCCGCUGUUCUGACGGUACCCAAAGAAUAAGCACCGGCUAACUUCGUG
RNAcentral lists this ribosomal RNA (492 nucleotides) under uncultured bacterium. Its description in RNAcentral is "partial 16S ribosomal RNA". It matches the Rfam family "Bacterial small subunit ribosomal RNA", at positions 29 to 507 of the family's 1533-position model. The record is from RNAcentral.